This is a long non-coding RNA of Drosophila montana, 1002 nucleotides long. RefSeq lists it as uncharacterized. The transcript is spliced from 2 exons. The record is from RefSeq and is a predicted model, not a curated record. NCBI's taxonomy places the organism in Eukaryota, Metazoa, Arthropoda, Insecta, Diptera, Drosophilidae.
AGGCACCAAAUGAAGGACAAACAAAAGACGCCUUGACCACUUUCCAGCACUCCCCUUGUCAAUAAGUCCAUCCGUCCGUUCUGUCACAAUUCAUUACGGACACUCAGGAAAAUAUAUAUAAAGUUUUUGUUUUAGAUUUCGUGACAAAUGUACAAAAUGUACAAAAAUGGCCCAGGUCUAGGCCCGAAUUGACUGUGCAUGGACAAGUGGAGCAGGCCGGAUGGGCUGUCUGACUGUCGCAGCCAAAAAGGAUUACUUAUCGCAUAUUUUGACAUAAGUUAAGUUCAUCACUGAAAUACGAGAGUCAAUUGUCCAAUGCCCGAAUAUGUUGGGGGGUUAAAUCCGACGGGCAGACAGCAGCGAGAGAGAGAGAAAGAGCAAGAGAGGGGCAGCCACUUGGUCGUGUGAUGGGUGAAUUGUGAUAAGCCGACCGUCCGACAGGACAGGACAGCAAGGUCUGGGGUUGAGGGUCCACCACCGAUUGCUCCUUUGUUUAUAGGCCUUCUACGCCUUGUUUAUUUGCAUUUGCCUGUUUGUAUUUGCACUGAAAUCGAGGCAGGAACAGGACGAUGGCUUCGGUUUCGUUAAAUUGGCAAAAGUCUGCAGCACAAUUGACAGCUUAGGGUAGCGACAGCCGGACUUGCAAAACAAUUGAUGGACUUUCUGGACAUAUGCACGGAGCUUUGCUUUGAUUUUUUGUACUUAUUUAAAAUGCGACUGCUAAUAAUGCUUUAUUCUACACAGCCUAGAAAGGGACAAUGGCAAAGAAUUUAAUUCCGGUUUAAAUGUAGUUCUAUUUUUCGGCUUCCAGCUGCCAUUGUUAAGUAAAUGUACGGGGGCGUAAAAGGGUUCGAAAUCGCUUCGAAUCCUUAUAAUACUUUCCUUAACUUUUGAUUGCGUAAAAAGCUUUUCGUUACUUCGACUAAGGAAGCAGAGAAAAAAGUAAACAAUUACCUAUUUUUAUAAUACUAGGCAGACGAUCUGCCCAGAUUUCUCUUUAAA